UACGGAGGAUGCAAGCGUUAUCCGGAGUGAUUGGGCGUAAAGCGUCCGCAGGUGGCUAUGUAAGUCUGCUGUUAAAGAGUGAGGCUCAACCUCAUAAGAGCAGUGGAAACUACGUGGCUAGAGUGCGUUCGGGGCAGAGGGAAUUCCUGGUGUAGCGGUGAAAUGCGUAGAGAUCAGGAAGAACACCGGUGGCGAAAGCGCUCUGCUAGGCCGCAACUGACACUCAUGGACGAAAGCUAGGGGAGCGAAUGGG
This 253-nucleotide ribosomal RNA is filed under the name uncultured bacterium. RNAcentral describes it as "partial 16S ribosomal RNA". It matches the Rfam family "Bacterial small subunit ribosomal RNA", at positions 524 to 776 of the family's 1533-position model. The record is from RNAcentral.